AGUGAACGCUGGCGGUAGGCCUAACACAUGCAAGUCGAACGGCAGCACAGUAAGAGCUUGCUCUUACGGGUGGCGAGUGGCGGACGGGUGAGGAAUACAUCGGAAUCUACUUUUUCGUGGGGGAUAACGUAGGGAAACUUACGCUAAUACCGCAUACGACCUACGGGUGAAAGCAGGGGAUCUUCGGACCUUGCGCGAUUGAAUGAGCCGAUGUCGGAUUAGCUAGUUGGCGGGGUAAAGGCCCACCAAGGCGACGAUCCGUAGCUGGUCUGAGAGGAUGAUCAGCCACACUGGAACUGAGACACGGUCCAGACGCCUACGGGAGGCAGCAGUGGGGAAUAUUGGACAAUGGGCGCAAGCCUGAUCCAGCCAUACCGCGUGGGUGAAGAAGGCCUUCGGGUUGUAAAGCCCUUUUGUUGGGAAAGAAAAGCAGCAGGUUAAUACCCCGCUGUUCUGACGGUACCCAAAGAAUAAACACCGGCUAACUUCGU
RNAcentral lists this ribosomal RNA (491 nucleotides) under uncultured bacterium. RNAcentral's name for it is "partial 16S ribosomal RNA". It matches the Rfam family "Bacterial small subunit ribosomal RNA", at positions 29 to 506 of the family's 1533-position model. The record is from RNAcentral.